Molecule: ribosomal RNA, 108 nt
Filed under: Galbibacter pacificus
Lineage: Bacteria; Pseudomonadati; Bacteroidota; Flavobacteriia; Flavobacteriales; Flavobacteriaceae
Source: RNAcentral
UAAGGUGGUUACAGCGACGGGGCUCACCUCUUCCCAUUCCGAACAGAGCAGUUAAGCCCGCCAGCGCCGAUGGUACUACGCAAGUGGGAGAGUAGGUCGCCGCCUUCU